ACAACCUUGCAGUUUGUGAUUGAUCUAAAAUUUUAAUUUUAAAUUUAAUAAUCAGAUUAUAAAUUAGAUCUAAUCUAAAAAAUAAUCUAAGCAUGUAUAAAUAAUCAUGUAAUAAAGAACCUGGCUCUGAUACCAAUUGUAGGAUCCAGAUCUAGGGUUUCAGGGUUAGAUCUUGAAACUUUUUCAAGAUCAUACAGCGGAA
Molecule: long non-coding RNA, 202 nt
Filed under: Elaeis guineensis (African oil palm)
Lineage: Eukaryota; Viridiplantae; Streptophyta; Magnoliopsida; Arecales; Arecaceae
Description: long non-coding RNA (EGUI_LNC066862)
Source: RNAcentral